RNAcentral lists this ribosomal RNA (497 nucleotides) under uncultured bacterium. Its description in RNAcentral is "partial 16S ribosomal RNA". It matches the Rfam family "Bacterial small subunit ribosomal RNA", at positions 28 to 507 of the family's 1533-position model. The record is from RNAcentral.
GAUGAACGCUGGCGGCGUGCCUAAUACAUGCAAGUCGAGCGAACAUACGAGGACCUUUCUCUUCAGACGUUAGCGGCGGACGGGUGAGUAAGACGUGGAUAACCUACCUAUAAGACUGGGAUAACGUCGGGAAACCGGAGCUAAUACCGGAUAAUAUAUUAAAACGCAUGGUUCAAUAGUGAAAGACGGUUUUGCUGUCACUUAUGGAUGGAUCCGCGCCGCAUUAGCUAGUUGGUAAGGUAACGGCUUACCAAGGCAACGAUGCAUAGCCGACCUGAGAGGGUGAUCGGCCACACUGGGACUGAGACACGGUCCAGACUCCUACGGGAGGCAGCAGUAGGGAAUCUUCGGCAAUGGGCGAAAGCCUGACGGAGCAACGCCGCGUGAGUGAUGAAGGUCUUCGGAUCGUAAAACUCUGUUAUUAGGGAAGAACAAGUGCGUAAGUAACUAUGCGCGUCUUGACGGUACCUAAUCAGAAAGCCACGGCUAACUACGUG